Non-coding RNA from Myotis davidii, 76 nucleotides. NCBI's taxonomy places the organism in Eukaryota, Metazoa, Chordata, Mammalia, Chiroptera, Vespertilionidae. The record is from Rfam.
GGUGGUUCUCAGGUGACGCACCCCAGAAUCGGGCUCCCUCCUCUCUGGUUCUGGGGUGCGUCACCUGAGAAUCACA